UCUUGGGAUACAAGGCUUUGUUAACAAUACAGAGAAGAUUAGCAUGGCCUCUGCACAAGGAUGAUGCACAAAUUCGUGAAGCGUUCCGUAUUUUA
RNAcentral lists this small nuclear RNA (95 nucleotides) under Salvator merianae (Argentine black and white tegu). The record is from RNAcentral. Lineage: Eukaryota; Metazoa; Chordata; Lepidosauria; Squamata; Teiidae.